UACGGGGGGGGCAAGCGUUGUUCGGAAUUACUGGGCGUAAAGGGCGCGUAGGCGGUUCGAUAAGUCAGCUGUGAAAACCAUGGGCUUAACUCAUGGCCUGCAGUUGAGACUGUCGGGCUGGAGUGUGGGAGAGGAGAGUGGAAUUCCCGGUGUAGCGGUGAAAUGCGCAGAUAUCGGGAGGAACACCGGUGGCGAAGGCGGUUCUCUGGGCCUUACCUGACGCUGAGGAGCGAAAGCGUGGGGAGCGAACAGG
This 253-nucleotide ribosomal RNA is filed under the name uncultured bacterium. RNAcentral describes it as "partial 16S ribosomal RNA". It matches the Rfam family "Bacterial small subunit ribosomal RNA", at positions 524 to 776 of the family's 1533-position model. The record is from RNAcentral.